ACCCGCUGAACUUAAGCAUAUCAAUAAGCGGAGGAAAAGAAACCAACAGGGAUUGCCUCAGUAACGGCGAGUGAAGCGGCAACAGCUCAAAUUUGAAAUCUGGCCUCACGGUCCGAGUUGUAAUUUGUAGAGGAUGUUUCGAGUGUGGUCCGGUCUAAGUUCCUUGGAACAGGACGUCAUAGAGGGUGAGAAUCCCGUAUGCGACUGGGUGCCUAAUCUCAUGUGAAACUCCUUCGACGAGUCGAGUUGUUUGGGAAUGCAGCUCAAAAUGGGUGGUAAAUUUCAUCUAAAGCUAAAUACUGGCCAGAGACCGAUAGCGCACAAGUAGAGUGAUCGAAAGAUGAAAAGCACUUUGGAAAGAGAGUUAAACAGUACGUGAAAUUGUUGAAAGGGAAGCGCUUGCAACCAGACUUGCACGCAGUCGAUCAUCCGAUGUUUUCACCGGUGCACUCGAUUGUGUUCAGGCCAGCAUCGGUUUUGGUGGUGGGAUAAAGGCCUUGGGAAUGUAGCUUCUUUCGGGGAGUGUUAUAGCCCUCGGUGCAAUGCCGCCUACUGGGACCGAGGACCGCGCUUCGGCUAGGAUGCUGGCGUAAUGGUUGUAAGCGACCCGUCUUGAAACACGG
This 623-nucleotide ribosomal RNA is filed under the name uncultured fungus. Its description in RNAcentral is "eukaryotic LSU rRNA". It matches the Rfam family "Eukaryotic large subunit ribosomal RNA", at positions 23 to 664 of the family's 3401-position model. The record is from RNAcentral. Lineage: Eukaryota; Fungi.